This 502-nucleotide ribosomal RNA is filed under the name uncultured eukaryote. RNAcentral's name for it is "bacterial SSU rRNA". It matches the Rfam family "Eukaryotic small subunit ribosomal RNA", at positions 21 to 549 of the family's 1831-position model. The record is from RNAcentral.
UAGUCAUAUGCUUGUCUCAAAGAUUAAGCCAUGCAUGUCAAAGUAUAAGUAGAUUAUAUAGCGAAACUGCGAACGGCUCAUUAAAUCAGUUAUAAUUUGAUUGAUAAAGAAAAAACUACAUGGAUAACUGUGGUAAUUCUAGAGCUAAUACAAGCAAGAGUACUCUUAGGAGUAGCAUUUAUUAGAUAGAAAAAAACCUUUAGAAGGAUGAUUCAAAAUAACUAGGGAGAUCGUAAUAUUUUUACGAUGUAUCAAGUAAAUAUCUGCCCUAUCAACUUUGGAUGGUAGGAUAGAGGCCUACCAUGGUGAUAACGGGUGACGGAGAAUUAGGGUUUGAUUCCGGAGAGGGAGCCUGAGAAAUGGCUACCACAUCCAAGGAAGGCAGCAGGCGCGCAAAUUACCCAAUCCUUUUAGGGGAGGUAGUGACAAGAAAUAACAAUACUGAAAGAAAAUUUUAGUAAUUGGAAUGAAACAAAAGUAAAAAGAUUAUUGAGGAACAAUU